RNAcentral lists this microRNA precursor (84 nucleotides) under Bombyx mori (domestic silkworm). RNAcentral's name for it is "mir-2807 microRNA precursor family". It matches the Rfam family "mir-2807 microRNA precursor family". The record is from Rfam by way of RNAcentral. Lineage: Eukaryota; Metazoa; Arthropoda; Insecta; Lepidoptera; Bombycidae.
UUAACUCAAAUUUGUAUGAAAUUGGAACGUUUGCCUACGUUUGCCGCUAGGGGCGCUGUUCCAACUAUAUACAAAUUUGAGUUA